RNAcentral lists this non-coding RNA (144 nucleotides) under Fragilariopsis kerguelensis. Lineage: Eukaryota; Bacillariophyta; Bacillariophyceae; Bacillariales; Bacillariaceae. The record is from RNAcentral.
AUUGUUUUGAAUCGAGUAAUAAGCUGUUAAUCAGAGAGGAAGAGAAGAAAUGCCGUAGUAAACGAAUGGAAGGAAAAUGUCAAGGACAAUGUAAUCAUUCUAUUUCGCCUUCUCCCAAAAAACAGAAAAAAGUCGAAGGCAAAA